RNAcentral lists this ribosomal RNA (195 nucleotides) under uncultured Dyella sp. RNAcentral's name for it is "partial 16S ribosomal RNA". It matches the Rfam family "Bacterial small subunit ribosomal RNA", at positions 338 to 524 of the family's 1533-position model. Lineage: Bacteria; Pseudomonadati; Pseudomonadota; Gammaproteobacteria; Lysobacterales; Rhodanobacteraceae. The record is from RNAcentral.
CCUACGGGAGGCAGCAGUGGGGAAUAUUGGACAAUGGGCGCAAGCCUGAUCCAGCAAUGCCGCGUGUGUGAAGAAGGCCUUCGGGUUGUAAAGCACUUUUAUCAGGAGCGAAACUACUGCCGGCUAAUACCCGGCGGAACUGACGGUACCUGAGGAAUAAGCACCGGCUAACUUCGUGCCAGCAGCCGCGGUAAU